CCUACGGGUGGCAGCAGUGGGGAAUAUUGCGCAAUGGGGGCAACCCUGACGCAGCAACGCCGCGUGAUUGAAGAAGGCCUUCGGGUUGUAAAGAUCUUUAAUUGGGGACGAAACAAAUGACGGUACCCAAAGAAUAAGCUCCGGCUAACUACGUGCCAGCAGCCGCGGUAAUACGUAGGGAGCAAGCGUUAUCCGGAUUUACUGGGUGUAAAGGGCGAGUAGGCGGGCUGGCAAGUUGGGAGUGAAAUCCCGGGGCUUAACCCCGGAACUGCUUUCAAAACUGCUGGUCUUGAGUGAUGGAGAGGGAGGUGGAAUUCCACGUGUAGCAGUGAAAUGCGUAGAUAUGUGGAAGAACACCGAUGGCGAAGGCAGCCUCCUGGGACAUAACUGACGCUCAGGCACGAAAGCGUGGGGAGCAAACAGGAUUAGAUACCCGUGUAGUC
This 443-nucleotide ribosomal RNA is filed under the name uncultured bacterium. RNAcentral describes it as "partial 16S ribosomal RNA". It matches the Rfam family "Bacterial small subunit ribosomal RNA", at positions 338 to 795 of the family's 1533-position model. The record is from RNAcentral.